GUAUUUGCCGCAAAUGCUGCCCCGUAUAUAGAGUAUUAUAGAUAUGCAAAAGUUAAACAUACGUAUAGAUAGACGUACAGUAUAUGUAAAGAGACAUGUGGUGUACACGUGAGUCAUCUGUCUUUCGAUCUCCAACAGCUCCGUAUUUGGUGACACCAACUAUUUUGCGAGAAAAAACAAAAAAAAAAAGCUUGUAUAGUACACUCUACACUCUACACACACAAGAAUAUAAUCCACAAAUAUUCCCUGCAUUGUUUUUCAUAUAUAAUUAAUAAGUAGUUAGAUAAUCAGAUAAAUUGGCUGCUUUGUUUCCUUGAUUGGUACAUGAUGAUAUGUAAU
RNAcentral lists this long non-coding RNA (339 nucleotides) under Capsella rubella. RNAcentral's name for it is "long non-coding RNA (CRUB_LNC003634)". The record is from RNAcentral. Lineage: Eukaryota; Viridiplantae; Streptophyta; Magnoliopsida; Brassicales; Brassicaceae.